This 550-nucleotide long non-coding RNA is filed under the name Vulpes vulpes (red fox). RNAcentral describes it as "lncRNA (ENSVVUG00000015523.1)". Lineage: Eukaryota; Metazoa; Chordata; Mammalia; Carnivora; Canidae. The record is from RNAcentral.
UAUACUUCCUGCUUGCAUAUACAGAAAAGGAAAGAGCCACCAAAGGGCAUCUCUCUGGCCCUUUCACCAGCCGUGAGGAGACACUUCAGACCUCAAGGCUGGAUGGCAUUAACUGACUUUCAGGACAUCGAGCCCAUUGGUCUUACUUCUGUUUCCCACCACAAGUUUGAGAUGACAAUCCAAAGUAGCUGCACUUGGACACAGAGAGGAUGAAGAGGAAGAUUUCCUUCACCAGCUGGGGCAGUAGGGUCUCUGCCGAUGGAUGCAGAGACGACCUCAAGUCCCCAAAGUGGUCUGGACCUCCCUGGCCAAAGGAACCCAAGAAAUGGCCUGGGGCUUGUCACAGACAAAGGUUACCUGAUUACAUUACUGUAGUAGGCAGUUGGGUGGCUUCUGUAGGAGCCACACUGGAGACAUCCAUCAAAGAACAUUUCAGUGGGCAGGUCAAUGCUUAAUGAAAGUGUCAGUGGCUUUCACAGAAAAGUUUAUCUUGAUUCCUGUUAACACUCUGGAUAAUAAACUUCACACUUUCUCUGAUAAAUGGUCUUUC